GCCAGCAGCCAUAUCACCCUGCAACUCACAACUAGCAACCCGCUGAAGCUAAGCAGGUGUGAGCCUGGUCAGUACCAGGAUAAAAGACCUCCUGGGAAAAAGCUGGGUUGCUGCUGGAA
This 119-nucleotide ribosomal RNA is filed under the name Lepisosteus oculatus (spotted gar). The record is from RNAcentral. Lineage: Eukaryota; Metazoa; Chordata; Actinopteri; Semionotiformes; Lepisosteidae.